CGAGUCUGCCUUGAAGAUCGGAGUGCUUGCACUCUGUGAAACAAGAUACAGGCUAGCGGCGGACGGGUGAGUAACACGUGGGUAACCUGCCCAAGAGAUCGGAAUAACACCUGGAAACAGAUGCUAAUACCGGAUAACAACAGAUGAUGCCUAUCAACUGUUUAAAAGAUGGUUCUGCUAUCACUCUUGGAUGGACCUGCGGUGCAUUAGCUAGUUGGUAGGGUAACGGCCUACCAAGGCGAUGAUGCAUAGCCGAGUUGAGAGACUGAUCGGCCACAUUGGGACUGAGACACGGCCCAAACUCCUACGGGAGGCAGCAGUAGGGAAUCUUCCACAAUGGACGCAAGUCUGAUGGAGCAACGCCGCGUGAGCGAAGAAGGGUUUCGGCUCGUAAAGCUCUGUUGUUGGUGAA
RNAcentral lists this ribosomal RNA (412 nucleotides) under uncultured Lactobacillus sp. RNAcentral describes it as "bacterial SSU rRNA". It matches the Rfam family "Bacterial small subunit ribosomal RNA", at positions 58 to 446 of the family's 1533-position model. Lineage: Bacteria; Bacillati; Bacillota; Bacilli; Lactobacillales; Lactobacillaceae. The record is from RNAcentral.